CCCUAGAGGCAGCCACAGGAGAACACACAAAAACAAAACUUCACUCAUUCUAAAAAAAACUCAUUCUUGGCCAUUUUCAAAAACCAGUCAAAACUUCCAAAGAACAAAACUUUGCCUUGCCAAAAACAACAUUCAUACAACAUUUUGAACUGGUUUUCAUCAGCAUUCCCCAGCUGGAAGGCCACUUCCCAUAACUGUUUUUCUUCACCUUCCAUCCAUGACAGUCCGCGAUUUGAGCAUUUCCAAGAUGUCCUGAGCCAAACCAU
This 266-nucleotide long non-coding RNA is filed under the name Lathyrus oleraceus (garden pea). Its description in RNAcentral is "Pisum sativum (pea) long non-coding RNA (PSAT_LNC036391)". Lineage: Eukaryota; Viridiplantae; Streptophyta; Magnoliopsida; Fabales; Fabaceae. The record is from RNAcentral.